This 497-nucleotide ribosomal RNA is filed under the name uncultured bacterium. RNAcentral describes it as "partial 16S ribosomal RNA". It matches the Rfam family "Bacterial small subunit ribosomal RNA", at positions 28 to 507 of the family's 1533-position model. The record is from RNAcentral.
GAUGAACGCUGGCGGCGUGCCUAAUACAUGCAAGUCGAGCGAACAGAUGAGGAGCUUGCUCCUCUGACGUUAGCGGCGGACGGGUGAGUAACACGUGGAUAACCUACCUAUAAGACUGGGAUAACUUCGGGAAACCGGAGCUAAUACCGGAUGAUAUAUUGAACCGCAUGGUUCAAUAGUGAAAGACGGUUUUGCUGUCACUUAUAGAUGGAUCCGCGCCGCAUUAGCUAGUUGGUAAGGUAACGGCUUACCAAGGCAACGAUGCGUAGCCGACCUGAGAGGGUGAUCGGCCACACGGGAACUGAGACACGGUACAGACUCCUACGGGAGGCAGCAGUAGGGAAUCUUACGCAAUGGACGAAAGCCUGACGGAGCAACGCCGCGUGAGGGAUGAAGGUCUCCGGAUCGUAAAACUAUGUUAUUAGGGAAGAACAAAUGUGUAAGUAACUAUGCACGUCUUGACGGUACCUAAUCAGAAAGCCACGGCUAACUACGUG